CCCUUAGAUGUCCGGGGCUGCACGCGCGCUACACUGAAGGAAUCAGCGUGCUAAAACCAUUGUCGAAAGGCAUUGGUAAACCCAUUAAAAUCCUACGUGAUUGGGAUCGGGAAUUGCAAUUAUUUCCCUUGAACGAGGAAUUCCCAGUAAGUAUGGGUCAUAAGCUCGCGUUGAUUACGUCCCUGCCCUUUGUACACACCGCCCGUCGCUGCCCGGGACUGAGCCGUUUCGAGAAAAGCGGGGACUGCUGCUGUCGGGGCUUUCGGGCCUUGGCUUCGGUGGAAACCGCUUUAAUCGCAGUGGCUUGAACCGGGCAAAAGUCGUAGCA
RNAcentral lists this ribosomal RNA (328 nucleotides) under uncultured eukaryote. RNAcentral describes it as "partial 18S ribosomal RNA". It matches the Rfam family "Eukaryotic small subunit ribosomal RNA", at positions 1470 to 1796 of the family's 1831-position model. The record is from RNAcentral.